GCGGCUCGAGCCCUCCCGGUCCCCGCGUCCCGCCCCUCGAGUCCCCUCCCUCGCGGGCCCCCCGCCCGGGAGGCCGCGGGAGCCCGCUGGGAGGGCGGGCCCGUCGCCGCCGCACAGGUCGCGAGGCGGGCGCUGAGGAGCGGGUCCGCGCCGCGGGCUAGGCGGAGGCGGAGGCAAAGCGAGCGCGGGAGGUCGCCGCAGCCGGGGACACCGCGCGCCGCUGCCCAACAUGGUCGCUGCGCACGCUGCCCAUUCUUCCUCUUCAGCCGAGUGGAUCGCCUGCUUGGAUAAAAGACCAUUGGAACGAUCCAGUGAAGAUGUGGAUAUAAUCUUCACAAGGCUGAAAGAAGUUAAAGCUUUUGAGAAAUUUCACCCAAAUCUCCUUCAUCAGAUUUGUUUAUGUGGUUAUUAUGAGAAUCUGGAAAAAGGAAUAACAUUAUUUCGCCAGGGUGAUAUUGGAACAAACUGGUAUGCUGUCCUGGCAGGGUCUUUGGAUGUCAAAGUGUCUGAAACCAGCAGUCACCAGGAUGCAGUGACCAUCUGUACUCUGGGAAUUGGGACAGCUUUCGGAGAGUCCAUUCUGGACAACACACCCCGCCAUGCGACCAUCGUUACCAGGGAGAGCAGUGAACUGCUCCGCAUCGAGCAGAAGGACUUCAAGGCUCUAUGGGAGAAAUAUCGACAGUACAUGGCAGGACUUCUGGCUCCUCCUUAUGGUGUUAUGGAAACGGGCUCUAACAAUGACAGGAUUCCUGACAAGGAGAACACACCUCUCAUUGAACCUCACGUUCCUCUUCGUCCUGCUAACACCAUUAGCAAGGUCCCUUCAGAGAAGAUCCUCAGGGCUGGAAAAAUUUUACGAAAUGCCAUUCUCUCUCGAGCACCUCACAUGAUAAGAGAUAGAAAAUACCACCUGAAGACGUACAGGCAGUGCUGUGUGGGGACCGAGCUGGUGGACUGGAUGCUGCAGCAGACUUCAUGCGUUCACUCCCGAACUCAGGCUGUUGGCGUGUGGCAGGUGCUGGUGGAGGACAAUGUUCUCAACCAUGUGGACCAGGAGCACCACUUCCAAGACAAAUAUUUAUUUUAUCGAUUUCUGGAUGACGAGCACGAGGAUGCCCCCUUGCCUACUGAGGAGGAGAAGAAGGAGUGUGAUGAGGAGCUGCAGGACACCAUGCUGCUGCUGUCGCAGAUGGGCCCUGACGCCCACAUGAGGAUGAUCCUUCGCAAACCACCUGGCCAGAGGACUGUGGAUGACCUAGAGAUUAUCUAUGAAGAGCUCAUUCACAUUAAGGCCUUAUCCCAUCUGUCUACCACAGUGAAACGAGAGUUAGCAGGGGUCCUCAUUUUUGAAUCUCAUGCCAAAGGAGGAACUGUGCUGUUUAACCAGGGGGAAGAAGGCACCUCCUGGUACAUUAUUCUAAAAGGAUCAGUGAAUGUAGUCAUUUACGGCAAGGGUGUGGUCUGUACCCUGCAUGAAGGGGAUGACUUUGGCAAGUUAGCACUGGUCAAUGAUGCGCCAAGAGCUGCUUCUAUUGUCUUGAGAGAAGACAAUUGCCACUUUUUAAGGGUAGACAAGGAGGAUUUCAACCGGAUCCUGAGGGACGUUGAGGCGAAUACAGUCAGACUUAAAGAACAUGACCAAGAUGUCUUGGUGCUGGAGAAGGUCCCAGCAGGGAACAGGGCUUCUAAUCAAGGAAACUCACAGCCUCAGCAAAAGUAUACUGUGAUGUCAGGAACACCUGAAAAAAUUUUAGAGCAUUUUCUAGAAACAAUACGCCUUGAGCCAGCUUUAAAUGAAGCAACAGAUUCUGUUUUAAAUGACUUUGUUAUGAUGCACUGUGUUUUUAUGCCAAAUACCCAGCUUUGCCCAGCCUUGGUGGCCCAAUAUCCUUUUGUGGUUUGAAGUCUCUAUUCCCUUGAAGACACCUCGUAUCUAUCUGGUCAUUAUCUCAUUUCAUUCUCUGAAGAAUUAUAAUUGCCCUACCUGAUUCUCAUUUUCUUGUUCACUCAUAAUUCUCUUUGAAGUCAACAGAAUGUGUGAGGAUGGGAGAUUUGAGUUGAAUAUGUUAUUCAGAAGCAACUGCAAGAGUGAGAUUUGGGUGUUUAUUUGCCUGGAAACUAUCUUUCCAAGUAAUGACAGCUUAAUGAGACUCACAUACAUUAUAUAUUCUUUCUGGCUUAUAUUCCGUUUUUCUCAAGUAAAGUUAACACAUUCAGGAUCUCUCUGUGCUCUUUUAAUCCACACAUGGUAAUCGUUAUUAGACCUUUGAGACUUGUUAGAAGGAAAAAUAAAAACCACCACUGAGUUCUUUUUUUCCAACAGUUAGCAUAUCAAUAAGAUUUAAGCCAACAAAAUGCAGAGAAGAGUGAGGGAAUAUAGCGGGCCACAUCAUGCCAUCUUUACAAGUAGAAACCCCAAGUCUUUGUUUUUGCAAAUUCUGCUUUCAUUUAUUAGCUUGUUCUGCUUUAGAGCUGAUUGAGGAUAUUCAUAUCACUGAUCUCUGUUUUUAAAACAGAAGUUCCUAGAGGGGAAGUCCAUGCUAUGUCCAGGUCGGGAGGUGUAGGGAAAAUGGUAGUAGGUAGAGGAGAGAAAGUCAGGAAGGUGAACAGUGGAAUCAAGGGAGGCCUAUGAUAUCUGAUCCCGAUUCUUUUCUCAGUAGACGGAGGGAAUCCAGGAUAGCUGGGUGUCUUCUAAAGUACCUAGUGCCCUCAGAUCACCUCCUUCGUACUUGGCCCUACGAGAAGUUAGAUUCUCUUCAUUGCUCUGUUUUGAACCAACUCUCUGUGUUAGGUAUCUUGCUAACAACAUUGACCCAUAUUUAUCCUUCCAGGUGUCUACUGGGUUAGUAUUAGCUUUGUCUUACAAAUGAGGAUUCUGGGACUCAGAAACAGUGGGGUGACAUACCCAAGGCAAGUGGCAGCGUCAGGAUUCAUCCAGGUCAUAGGAUUCUGAGCCUGGAGUGCGUCACUUUUUUUUCUCCACAUAUUAUUUUUUUAAGAGCUUAUCCUUUAGAGUUUAAGAACAUUUCUUGACAAUGCAUUGCAGGAUACAUGUUUAUCUGUGUUUCAGUUGACUCAAAGCAAAGUAGGCCUAACGUAUUGAAACCAAAUAUAUGAAACGUUCAGUAGAACUUUUCGCAAUCAUAGAAAUAUUCUGUUUCUGCUAGACCAGGAUCCACUAGCUUUGAAAUUCGCUACUGUGACUGAGGAACAGAAUCUGUGAUUUUACUUAAUUUUUGUUAAUUUACAUUUAAAUAGCCAUGUGUGGCUUGUGGCUGCCAUAUUGGACAACAUGUCUAGUCCUUAGAUGGGAACAAGAGCCUCCAACAAAAAUUGCUGUUAUGUGAUGCCGACCGAGGGAGGGUAUCCCAGGGAUGCCAGGGGCUUACCCUGCUGCAGGCUGGCCAACAGAAAGGGCUUGGUCCCUGAAGAUCAUGGCAGUGCUUCUAUAUUAUGGUGAGGACUCAAUUUUUAGUUCCCCUUUUUCUGUAGGAACAUCUUAUGUCGGCUUCUUAUAUAGACUAUGUUUGUUUGGUCAUUGGUAACAUAAACCAACUGUGACUAUCUUAAAGAAUAUAGGAAUUUCUCAGAGGGAUUUGGGUUCACUCAGAGAAUUGAAGGGAUCCUGGAAGAGCCCAGGCUUUCAAAAGGGGCCUUGCAAGAAAUAAAGACCUGCUUUGGGGCCAAAUCUGCUCCAAGCAUCCUAGGCUGAUUCCCACAUCCCUAGGAAGGAGGGUCGGGUUGGCCUAGCUCAGGUCCCUGCUGACAUCUUGGUCAAAGGAAGGCAAAGCACUUUCCCAACAGUCCCCCAGAGCUUGUCUGUGAAGAAAAAGAGAGGAAAUGGAGAAAUAGGUGAUGAGCAGACCAAACAACUAGUACCCAUAAACUGCUAACACUUCAUGCACCAGCCACAGGGAGAAAUCAGGUAAAGCUGAGCUGGUGGGUUGAUCCCCAUAUUAUUAACAUGAGAGAAGGGAGAGUAAAAUACUUAACCUCGUUCCAUUAAAGCACUUGGAUUAAAGUGAGUUGCUUUGGCUGAGUCUUUUCAAAGUACUUAAUAUCUGUGACUGUGCCUAGCAGCCCUACGAAGAAGUCAGUACUGUCACUGCUCUUUUUCCAAAUCAAUAAACGAGGAUAAUGAAAAAUUAUGAUUUGCUCAGAGAAAGGUAAUUACUAGUACAGAAAAGAUUUGAGCCCUGAGCCACUGACACCUUUUUCUGUCCUUAAUCCACAUUGUAUGUCACCUCCAAUUUUGCUUUUAGCGCGGAGGAAGAUGGUAGAACUCUCUUUAACAUUAAUAUCUCAGGCCUUUUAUACGCUAAUGAGAGAAAAAUCUCUAUUCAUUAGAUAUGCUUGGAACACGAUUUCACCUGAUGAAUACAAGUGCUUUCUAAUGAGUUUUUAAAAUUAUAUUUGUUCAAUUUCUGUACUUUUCAUCUUUAGUUUCUUGAAUCUUUUUAAGAUUUGCACUUAAAAUUCAGUAGAGUUUUCCACUGGUCUUUAAAAAAGAAAAUAAAACUACCUAUAACCCUGUCAGGUAUUACCGUUGUUAACAUUUUGGUAUGUAUCCUUCCAGUCUUUUUUCUUCACAGGUAGAUACAUAUAUAUAUUUUUUUUAAUUCUUUUAUAUUUUUAAGUAUAACAAGAGAAUCAUACUAUAAGUAAUUCUGUGUACUUUGUCAUUAAAAAAUAUUUUAUGAAUAGCUUUCUCUGCCAUUAAAUACUUCUCUGCAAAUUUUUUUCAAAGUAUAGAUAUCUUAUAAAAGUGAGAUCAUGUUGUAUAUGCUUUUUAAUAAUAUUUUCUUCUUCACUUAAUAGCAUGCUGUGGGUAUCUUUUCAGACAUGUAUGUGUAUGUUUAUAUAUAUAAAUGAAACUACAUUUUUUUAAAGAAUUUAUUUUACUUACUUGACACAGAGAGAUCACAAGUAGACAGAGAGAAAGAGGGGGAAGCAGGCUCCCUGCUGAGCAGAGAGCCUGAUGUGGGGCUAGAUCUCAGGACACUGAGAUCAUGACCUGAGCCGAAGGCAGAGGCUUAACCCACUGAGCCACCCAGGUGUGCCUACAUCUUUUUUUUUCCAACCAGUUCCAUAAACUCUUAUUAAACACAAUGUGUCAUAUAGUGCUGGGCAACAAGGUGACGCAGAUGCAUGAGAAAAACAUGCUAUCAUUUUCAUUAACUCACAAUAUUAUCUGGUAGAUUUGUCGUAGUUUAUUUUCUUAGCCUCUUUCUAUUGGAUAUUUACUUUUUUUUUUCAAAUUUUUUUUUCUAUAACAAAUACAAUGGGCUGAAUCAACAUCCUUCCAGCUCAAUCUUUGCCCACAUGUAAGAUCAUUUCAUUACUUUGAAAGUAGGCAAGGAGUAAGUAAUGCUUUAAUGCUUUUGAUGUUUACUACAGCAUUGCUCCCCUGUUGUCUUAAUUAUGUGUUUUAUGAUUAAACUCUAGACUAUUUUUUUUUUUUUUACAAAUCCAUGUAGGCCUUAGUUCAGUAAGUGAUCACAACUAAGUUAAUAUUAUUUUGAAUUUUAAUAACUAUGUCCUUGAUUUGGAGCAUUUUUCGUAUCAUUUACUUUAUGUUUCCAGCACCCAGCCCCCACAUGUGAGACAUAAAAAGGACUAGUGUGAUAUUUAUUUCAUUUUACAUGUGGGAGAAAUCAAGACACAUAGAGCCAAGAGAGCACCUAAGAUCACACACAUCCUGGCAAAUGUUUAGAGAAACUCCAUGUAGCCCUAAAUAAUUCCAACUGCAGGGGACAUUGUCCUUGUCAUCAGUGCCAUCUCAGUGGGUCAGUCUAGCUACUCUGUAACACGCUGCCCUUGGCCAUGGUUUGUUCUCGUAUUGCAGGCCCAAAGUAGACUGAGAUUCAAAGAGAGAUGUUCUGGGGCUUCUCAAACUUUAGGAAAGAGAACAGGAAGCCUAUAGCCCCAGUUGCCAGUGAUGGCCUUCCUACAAUGAGUAGGGGAAUAAGUCAUAUGUCAAAGCUGAAAUGCAUGGAGAGUCAGGAAAAAAAAAAAUGGUUCUAUGAUGGCAUCACUGCACUUGCCCAACCCUGCAGCUUACCUUGCCGAAGACUCCUUGUUAUGUCAACAAAUACAAGUCUUUGUGACUCGGGACAGAUUGUCAUUACAGCUGAAAGCAUCUUGAAUGAUCAUGGCUUAUAUUUAAAUUCAUAAAAAUGUAAAUACAGCAAUAAUUUUGGCCAAAUAUUUUUUCCUAGUGUCUUAAUUUCUUUUGGCUUAGUAUACACAAAUUCUCUGCUUUUGGCAUGGAAAAAAAUUCAUUUCAUUUCUUGAAGCAAAGAGGAAAAAGGAGAAUACAGAUUUGCUACGAAGUUUCAGCUAAAACUACUUCUCUAUAUAUUGUAUCCCUUAUACAGAGACAUAGCAAACGCAAUAGCUUCCUUUAUUGAAAAGGCAGGGCCUCCAUCAUUUAUUUCACUGUCAAAUUGAGCUGGGACAUUCUCUUUAGAAGUUGACUGAGGUUCCCUAGGAGGAACCUUUUUCAAAAUUUGCUUUUCUUCUUGAUGAUUUACAAAACAGCAUCGGGUUCUUAUUCUCCAGAUUAAGCCAAGUUUUUAGGAAUAUUAUUUAGAUGUCUAAGGAAAAUUGUCAGCUUAAAUUUUGUUGAAGCCAAAUUUUACCAUUGUAGUCCCCCAAUUGUUUCUGCAAGUGUUUAAUCCAUAUGCUACUCUCAGUGCAAUUUAUUUCUGCAGAUAUGCAACUUAAGACUUCAUUUCCAAUAAGGAAGACUUGCUUUAAUCAUGAUAUGAUGCAUCCUCUUUCUCAGAAAAUGACGGUGUUAUCAGAUAUUCUACAAAGUAUUUUAUACCCAUUUCUCAGCCUCAUAUCAACACCACGGGAUGCGUACUCUUUUUACAUGAAGGGAUGAGACUGAGGAGGUAUGUCGUUUUACCCAAGUUCCAUUGCUGGCAAGUGUUAGAAUAGUAGUGGGUUGAACCCAGCAAUGGGUUGUUAGUCCACAUCCUACUUCUCUGGUGGGAAUACUAGCCCCUGAGUUAAGACUAAAAAGAAUAGCCAAGAACAAGAGGCUUCUAAAAAUGCAAAGAAUUCUGAAAAUCAAUGAGAAAAAAAAAAAAAAAAGUUCCAAGCAAGAAAAUGGGAGGCACAUAAAGAAAAAUGACAACACAGAGAGUGGUCCUGGGAAUUUCAAGUUCAUAGGCUCACAUAGACACAGGAGCAGCUGAUGUGAUGGGAAUAGCAUUACAGUUAAACCCAGAGAGGCCAGGUCUCAUGGAAAGUUCCCAAACCACCCAUUUAAAAGAUUUCACUUUAUUUCCAGGGGGCGGACCAAUAAUAAUGACGGUGACUAACACUUGCUGAGCAUUUAAUAUGUCUGCGAUACUGUUCUGUAUAGUAUACCAGUAUUGUCUCAGCUCAUCUGUAACAGCAGUCCUCUGACAUUUACUGAUGAAGAGACUGAGGUUCUAAAUGGCCGAUUAACUGUCCGACGGCCUCACGUUUGUAAGUAGGGAAGCGGGGAGAUGAACCCAGGUGGUCUGAUUCGAGAACUUGCCUUCCAAGCACAUAUUGCGUGAAGGAAGGGAUAGAUUCGCAGCCCAGAAUGUUGGGAUGCUCCACGAAGGCAAGCAGGGUAGUAAAGAGACCCUGUAACACGGUGGGAAAAGCACAAGGUCUGAAGUCAGAAGACCUGUGUUUAAGACUUGAGUCUUACAAGCUGUAGUACUUGGCAAUUAUCCUUGACCUUUCUGAACCCUGUCUGUAUAAUAGGGGUAAUUAUACCUGUCUUGCCCAGUUCAUCAGGUGGAUGUGAGGAUCAAAUGAGGCUCUGUGUGUGAAAGUACAUUAUAAACCUUCAAGCCCCUUAUAAAUAGUGCCCCAUAUAAAUGCAUUAUUGUGCCACCAUGAAAGGAAUCUAGCAUCAUGUAAAGGAUAUACCAAUGCUUUGUCUAGUCAGUGGGCAGAUGACCCCCAAAGUUUGUUUUCGGCUACAAGCAGCGAUCUUGUAUGCAAAGCAGGGCUUAAAAAACAACAACAUUGAAGGGUAUCAGUUUGAAUGUUGAUAAGUGUUUUAUAAAUAGCUGCAUAAUUAGCAUGUACUUACUGCAAAAAAUAUACAUAAUAUUUUAUUCCCUGUUGUAGCUGUAAUGAAUCUGCCGCCUCUCCGUCCUAGGAGGCUUUCACUUACUUUCUCCAUGAUAAUUUUAAUAUGUGGAACCAUUAUUAGCUGAAUUAAGAAUAAGUAAAUGAGCAGUAAAAAAAAAAUACAGAAAAAUUACAGGUGCCUGUGGUGAGUAAGAUAAUAACUAGGUAAAAAUAUAUGAAAUAAUUACAGUGUUUGAACGGCACAGCCGGCAUGAGGAAAAUGACUCAAUGGAAUAUUAAGCCAGCUGUUGGCAGGGUAGAAAGACUGUAGCCUACACCGUGGCCUUCACCUCUUCAGAUCCUCAGCCCUGAUCCACACUGAAAACAUUCAGUUUGUCCUCAGUCAGUUGAGUGAUGCCGAAGGAACCGGUCCAAUUCGACAAAGAAUUCAGUCAUUCUGAGAGUCUGUGUUCCUAUAGAUUAAAUACCCCGUAAUUAAAAGAUUCUAUUUCAAAGAUGCACCUGAUAUCUGGUACUUGUGUGGACCUAGUUCCUGAUGACAUUGAAUAUGAACGUCCUUAGAAUGUAUCCAUGAUCUGUAUUUGACAUCUUUUUUUUUUUUUAAGAUUUUAUUUAUUUAUUUGAGAGACAGAGAUCACAAGUAGGCAGAGAGGCAGGCAGAGAGAGAAAGAGGAGGAAACAGGCCCCCCGCUGAGCAGAGAGCCCUAUGCAGAGCUCAAUCCCAGGACCCUAGGAUCAUGACCUGAGCUUCGUGAAGGCAGAGGCUUUAACCUACUGAGCCACCCAGGUGCCCCUGUAUUUGACAUCUUGACAAAACAGAAUUUCAGAUAAUUUAGAUAAAGCUUUUAAGGAGACAUGAUGUUUGUCUGUUUUUGAAAACUGUGUUAUAUAUAGUACUCCAAACAGUGUAAUUGAAUUAAGGUAACCAGUCAAUCAACAAACAUUUGAAGUUUUUUAUGAUUCCCAUUUCUGCUGUUAAGGAUUCUGAUUUAAUGUUCCCAGAUGGUGAAAAAUCUUAUUACCAUAACAAGAGAAACCUCAAGUUAGGAUUUGAAACCUCACAAAUGUUUGGUUAAUAGUGGUGAGUCACUGCUUUUUUUCUUUUUAUGUAAGUUCUAUGCCUAACAUGGGGCUUGAACUCACAAUCCCGAGAUCAAGAGUCCCAAUGUGCGGCCUCCUGAGCCAGCCAGUCACCCCCAAGCCGCUUUCUAAAUCAAGAGGUACUAGUUGGAACUAUGGCAGAGAGGAUCUAGUUCAGACAUUAGGAACCCUAUGCCUUCCUGACCAUCAGAUUGUCAGGCAGCUGCAGCAAUUAAUUCUUGAUUUCCUGUAUGUGCUUUGUCUUCUUUGUGGAUUUUUUGGGAUCAGUUUCCGCAUCUCAGACUGAUUUCCCCAUUAUCCGAUAAACUUCAAAUCCCCUAAGUCUGCUGCAUAAUACAUGUUAGCAUAAAGAAAUGUUAAUAUCAGACAAAAUGUGCCAACAGAGACAGGUAAACAAUGUCCUGGGGAGAGAUAAGAGAACUGAGUUCUAAUAUCAAGAAUUCUUUUGGUAGAUUUGGAAAAACACUUAAACUCAUUCUACCUCAGUUUCCUUACCCUCUGAAAUUGUGGCGUUAGAGAUACAAUCAAAGGGCUUUUGCAACUCACAGAUUCUGUGAUUCUGUGAAUCAUCUGAAAUCCACUCAGUGUGUCAGUGAUGACUUUGGCCAACAUUGACUAUUAAGGCCUUUUCUUAAUUGUAUUUAAGAUAAAAAUGUAAGUAAUUUUAGAUUCUCUUACAGACUUUUUUUUUCACUUUAUUUUAUUUUAUAUCUUUUCAGUGUUCCAAAACUCAUUGCUUAUGCACCACACCCAGUGCUCCAUGCAAUAGUGUCCUCCAUAAUACCCACCACCAGGCUCACCCAACCCCCCAUCCCCCUCCCCUCCAAAUCCCUCAGUUUGUUUCUCAGAGUCCACAGUCUCUCAUGGCUCAUCUCCCUCUCCAGUUUCACCCAAUUCACUUUUCCUUUCCUUCUCCUAAUGUCCUCCAUGUUAUUCCUUACGCUCCACAAGUAAGUGAAACCAUAUGAUAAUUGACUCUCUCUGCUUGACUUAUUUCAUUCAGCAUAAUCUCGUCCAGUCCCAUCCAUGUUGAUACAAAAGUGGGGUAUUCAUCCUUUCUGGUGGAGGCAUAAUACUCCAUAGUGUAUAUGGACUGUAUCUUUUUUAUCCAUUUGUCCAUUGAAAGGCAUCUUGGUUCUUUCCACAGUUCGGCAACUGUGGCCAUUGCUGCUAUAAACAUUGAGGUGCAUAUGGCCCUUCUUUUCACUUCAUCUGUAUCUUUGGGGUAAAUACCCAGUAGUGCAACUGCAGGGUCACAGGGUAGCUCUAUUUUUAAUUUCUUAAGGAAACUCCAUACUGUUUUCCAAAGUGGCUGCACCAACCCACAUUCCCAACAGUGUAGAGGGUUCCCCUUUCUCCACAUUCUAACACUUGUUAUUUCCUGUAUUGUUUCUUACAGACUUCUAUCUAACACUUUAUUUCUCUGUGUCUUUUUCACCAUAAAUUCAAGCAGCCAUAUUGCUUCUUUCCUGAACCCAACCGUCAUGAUAUCAGGAGUCAUGGCCCUGCUUAAUAUAUGUAUGUCCUUAUCAUUUGACAAAAUCACAGGAUUGUGAUGUAAUUUAUUUUCUCUGCUAACUGCACUUAACAUAGACACUAGCCAAGUAUAUAUUUCAUAUAGUGUGGUUAAAAGUAUCUUAUGUUGGGGGGAAAAGUAUCUUAUGUAUGUGGUUUCCAUGGAUCAUCCUUUCUAAAUGGUUGCUUGUCCUGGGGAAGAGCCAGGUUUGUAUUCCCAUGAGACUUUCUCCAUCAAGUGGUUAAUGGGUUGUUCUGGUUCUAGCCAAAGAAGGUAAUGGUUUCUAUGACCUUCCUGUUGUGUUUGAAUUUAUGAACAAACUAUAUUUGAAAUGUUACUCUUUUUAGGUUUAAUUGUUUUACAUCAUAUUGAGACAAGGGACCUGGUGGGAUGUUAUUUCCCACCCCUAGCCCCCAGCUGCUGUCUGAAGGGAAUAUAGUCUUUUCCCCUCUCUCCAUCUUUUUUGUAAAUGUUAAAUAAAAUCUAAAAAUAAAUCACAUAAAUCUUCUAAAACCUGGGGAAAGUGUUAUGGGAAUCAACAGAAGCCCCAACACAUCCUCUAUAACCAUUUCAGGUAUCAUCAAUUACAUAAAGUCUUCUCUGUGUCCCUUGAGAAUCUGAUUCAACAGACUGUUCUGGAAUGGAACAAUCUGUUGCCUGUGGAGGGGCAGAAUUCUUGAGCAUAUGCCUGGAUUCAGCUUAUAAAAGUACUAUCACUACCACCUCCAGUAACAUCUGUAAAGGGAAAGGGAGACUUUAUGAAACAACUCAGUGCUUCCUUUUAUUUUUCCAGAGGCAAAAACACUUAACUUUCUUGAGAAAAGAAACCAAGCCUUAUUCUAAUCCCUGUGGAUUUGGCCAUUGCUGGAUCCCAGGGGCCUGUGGAGCUAUUCAUUAAGAGCAGAGGACACUCAACUCUGGUUUAGGUAUUCAUCAGCUCUGGGAAACUUAGAGCUUAGGCAAAGGAAAAGAAAGAAAGAAAGAAAGAAAGAAAGAAAGAAAGAAAGAAGGAAAGAAAUCUCUUUCUCAUCAGGAUUUUUGCUUCCCAGAUGCAAUCAUUCUCAAUAAUUUCAUGAACCCAAGCGCUAACAUCCAGUCACUGUUGGGGAAUGGGGGUGAUGACAAUGGAGAGGGCCCUGUCUGGAUUUAUCAACCCUCCAUUUAUUUGCUGAACAACCUUGGGCAGAUCCCUUCUCUCAGUUUCAUCUGUAAGUAUUUAGAGAGAGUGUUACAUGAUCAUGUCAGCACAUGGAGCACAUUUAUUAUAAACUAUAAAGCUCCAUGCAGGUUUAGAGUGUUACCAUGUUAAUCCUUCCAAUCAUGUGUUCUUUCAUUGUAGAAAAAAGACAGAUUCCCCCGGAGGAAAGAAGUCAAGACAAAGUCCUGACCCACAGAGAUAACGUAAAUUUACUGUCCUGUCCUAAAGCCUUAUAGAUUAGCCUCACGUGUGCUCCUGGUAACACUGUACCCAAGUCACAAGUAUUCACAUUGUUUCCUGAGUCCAAGUCAGGAUAACCUGGAGGGGCAGCUGGGUGGCUCAGUUGGUUAAGCCUCUGACUCUUGGUUUUGGCUCAGGUCAUGAUCUCAGGAUCUUGAGAUCAAGUUCCAUAUCAGGCUCUGUGCUCAGCACGGAGUCUACUUAAGGUUCUUUCCCCUCCCUCUCCCACCUCCUCUGCUGCUCCCACUGCUUGCUCUCUCUCUCUCUCUCUCUAAAGAUAAAUAAGUAAAAUCUUAAAAAAAAAAAAAAAAAAGAUAA
Mustela lutreola (European mink) is the source of this 12461-nucleotide RNA transcript. It is a transcript of the gene named Rap guanine nucleotide exchange factor 4, with no coding region annotated. NCBI's taxonomy places the organism in Eukaryota, Metazoa, Chordata, Mammalia, Carnivora, Mustelidae. The record is from RefSeq and is a predicted model, not a curated record. The transcript has 18 exons.